UCUGUUGUCCUUCAUUCCACCGGAGUCUGUCUCGUACCUAACCAGAUUUCAGUGGAGUGAAGCACAAGAGACA
Molecule: microRNA precursor, 73 nt
Filed under: Gallus gallus (chicken)
Lineage: Eukaryota; Metazoa; Chordata; Aves; Galliformes; Phasianidae
Description: mir-205 microRNA precursor family
Rfam family: mir-205 microRNA precursor family
Source: Rfam by way of RNAcentral